Non-coding RNA from Nothobranchius furzeri (turquoise killifish), 3761 nucleotides. The record is from RefSeq and is a predicted model, not a curated record. NCBI's taxonomy places the organism in Eukaryota, Metazoa, Chordata, Actinopteri, Cyprinodontiformes, Nothobranchiidae.
UCCCGUCCAGCCGGACAGCGUGUGACGUCCUCUCCGUGAUCCUGUAUGGCUCGGUCCACCUCGGUUCCGUCCACUUCCUUUUGGUGACUUUUAGCAGGACCCAGACGCCUGGCACCGAAGACGAAGCCUCUUCGUGUGUGUAGUUUUGGUCCAAUGAAGGCUUUCUCGGCUUGUGCAGUCCUUGAUCUCGGCAGAUAGUUGGUAGGAAGAUUCACACUCCGGCCGGACCAGAAGUUCCCCGGACCGAUCGCCUAGGGAUUAGAGGUUAUGCACAAAAAUGUCCUAGCUCUUACUGACCCUAGCCUCUGAUACCUUCAACAUCAGACACAUACAGUUACGAACAGCAAGCGCAAUUAAAGGUACAGUGACAUCACGACAUGGACACACAGACACACAAACACAUACACAUGCACAUACACAGAGAGAGAGGGAGAGAGUAAGAAUGUGUGUGGGAGAAAGAAAUGUGUGGGAUCCAUUUUGCCACCAGCAUCUCCACCUGUGUCACAGAGAAAAAAUUGCAAAGAAAUUAAAACAUAAAGCAAACAACAAUAAUUCAAUGAGUAUAAAUGAUCAAACUAAAAUAUACAACCAUGCAUGGGUUUUAUAACAGUUCCAGCAACACUGGAGAUGAUGCCUUGUACAAUGAAUUCUUAAGAUGUCCUUCAUCAAUUAGAGGUUAUAACCAAAUUGUUUCAGGAUCCUGAAUUUGAAUUUGAAUUGGUUAAUUUACUCAGAAUAGUCCAAUGUCUUUGUUGAUGUUUCUCAAGGCUCGGCCAUGCCCAUAUAGAUAAAUAAGCAAACAAACAAGACAAACACAGUCAAACACACGGUCCAUACACGUCUCUGUGCCCUCACACACCAAGCAAAUGUCAGACUGAAGCGAAAGUGUGAAAACACUUAACCUAACGCUAAAUCAGUGGAAAGAAAAAAUAAGACCUAAAGCGUGUAAUCAAAUUAAUCCAACAAAACUUCCCAUAACUGCCGUUCUAAACUCACGUUGCGAUGUGAUCUCUCCAAUUAGAAAUUAGGACAAUCACUUUACUAUCAAUUCAACCAAAAAGUUUCAGGUUGUCCCUUACCUAAACUACCUGUCUUUCUUACCUUCUUUCUUUCUUUCUUUCUUUCUUUUUUAGGAACACUACUCGCACAAGAAAUCCUAAGAAUUAAUUCACUACUUAAGGUUAAUUCAUAAAUAACGAAACUGCAGUUACAGGUUUGUUUGUGCAUAGUAUUGGUAAUCAGCAGUUUUUUUCCUUAUCUCCUCAUCUAGAAGUGUUUCUGUGCUACUCCUCCAUCUAUAACACAAGUUAGUAUCAUCCUUAAAGCAUCUGAAAUUAAGCUGCAUUGCUAAAUCAAUAACGUGAUUUGUGCUAAGAAAUACUCCCCUAUCCUCUUCCUUUUUCCAGUGGCGCUGAAUGACAGAUUUUAGAUCAAUUUAUCGUUUUAUCACUAUUACGUUUCAUUUAAUUAAUUUUGCUUUUUCUCUCUUAUUUUUGUCUAUUUAUUUAUUUAUGUUAUUUACUUAUUUAUCAUGCCAUCCUGUGAUGAUAAUCUUAAAGACUUUUUAGCCAAUUGUCGUCAAAAAGGCCAUUUAAAAAUAUUAUGUUAAAGAUUUCACAAGAUAAAAAUGUGAACAUAAUUUUUAUCGAAUGAGGGGUACAAUUAUUCAAUAUUUUUGUGACAUUAUUUUCUACGUUAGAACUUACAGCUGAUAGAAAAAUAUAGGAUCAGCUAGGUUUGGCUAGAUCUGUUGGGAAACUCAACGGAGCUGAAACAACACUGUUGUCUCGGAUGAGAUGUUCCAUGAAUCAUUUAGUCAGCUGGAUGCCAAAUUAUUCAUUUAAUGUUUAUUUUUAUGCAAUGAAUGGAAUGGGAUGGAACGUUACUAUAAACUAUCCGGAAAUUUGCGCAUGUUUGCUCGAAGGAGAGAACUGUUGAAGCCUAAAGCGUUCUCCUAGACUUAUAAAUAGACACCGUUUCCUUAACUAAUGAAGAUAAGUGAUGACGCUGAUGUAUUCCGUUUUGAAAAGAAAAUAAGGCUUUACUGCAUGUCCGCUGCAGCUGAGAAUCCUAGGACAAUAAAGAUUAUAUUGACGUCCAAUGGUGAGUUGGGCUGAAAUCCAGGUUACUAAUCCUAUUAUUUAUUUAUUUAUUGAUAUUAUUAUUAUCUUUUUUUUAGGCUAACUUUCUCAGUUAACUAUGUUCUACAGUAGUUUAGUAAAUUUUCCACAGUUCUGACAUUUCAUCAAUUCAACUGGUUGUUGCCAAAAAGCCUUGUUCAUUACCUGACUGCAGCAAGCACUCUUUUACUGGGUGUAACCAUAGGAAACAGUCUCUUUUGAGCCUCUCUUUGUAAGUCCAGGAUGACCACCGUCAUUGAUUAAAGUUCACAUGUUAGCACACAUGCUCCCCCUUUUGUACUUUGUUUCAUCAGCAGCAGGGCAAAUAAGUUUCUGCCUCUUUGUCCAUCUUGUAGUGCUCCCCGUCUUGAUGUUAUGAGUCACAGUUUUUGGUGAGGGCUUCCAGGUUCUCUUUGUAUAGAAGUCAGAGCCAAACAUUCUUUGCAGCUGGUUGUGACAGGCCCACCCAGUAAAGUUCAUGCCUCCACAAUGCACAGCAAACGUUUUCCUUAAAUAUGUUGAUUGAGUUGAAAGGACAGAACUUUCUCUUUUACAAAUCAAAAUCAACGAAGGUUUCUAAUAUUUAGUCAACUUUAUUGACUCAAAGGUAAAUCUAGACUAUUUCCCAUGCACAAUUUUUCUGACUCGUCAAAUCGGUUCUACACAGGUUUUAAACUUUAGGCACAAUCUAUCCCAAAUGCAAGAUCCCUCCUUUCAUUUUUUAUUUAUCUAUUUUAUUUUGGGAAAAUAACUACCAGUUUUUAACUCAAAACAGCCUAGUACAGUUUCUAGCCAGGUUACAGGAAAUAAUACUUAGUUUAUCUGUUUUUUCAUUAUUCAGCAUCUCAAAAUCCAGCCAUUAACGUUAAUGGUUCUUAAAGUUGAGGCAAGACAAUUAUUGGAUUUUGUUUUAUAGCAAGAUUUAACAAAUAUUUUAUUUCCUUACUGAUUAUUUGUUAAUUUUAUGGUUUUCAUAAAGAUGAUCCUGAGAGGUUCAGAGCUGCUUUUCGCAGCACCCUGUGCUAUUUUUAGACUGCGGAACUCCUGUGUGUAAAAGUGGGUGGAGUCAGGUCCCCAGGCUGAAACUCCAGUCAUUCUCACUAGAUCUGUCCGAGAGGAAGGAUCUCCUGAAUACCCUAACCAGAAGCCUUAAGUCUCUCGAACUAAAUAACCGUCUAGUAAAAACAUGGACCGCACCCUGUUUCUCAAGCAGCUGCUCCCUCUAUUAAAAACUGAGUCAUUCAGAAGAUCCAGCGAAAGCAGCUCAUGCAAGAAGACACGCAUCCACUCAUUCACAUGGCACAGACGACAUUCUUUGUUUGUCACAGUCUUUUUUUUAAAGUAAGUCAGUUCGUCACUUAUUUAUUCUCUCUCUCUCUAUAUAUAUAUAAUAUUUUAAGCACAGAAUUUAUUUAACACUGCACUGGUUAUUUUCAGAAUUUAUUGCUUACUAUGCUUUUAAGCAGGACUUAUGUAACAUUAGAGCAAAUCCAAUUGCAAUUUUUUGAGAGCACUCUGAGGAAUAGUUUAUAUAUUUAUUUUCUGCAGAUCUGUUUUGAUUUUACUGUUUAGCAGCUUAUCUGACUUUAUAUAUAUGUAUAUCCAUAUAUUUCUGAAAUAAAGCUGUCAUAUACAACCUUA